CAGUCGCCACGGUAAUACGUAGGUGGCAAGCGUUGUCCGGAAUUAUUGGGCGUAAAGCGCGCGCAGGCGGCCUAUCCAGUCUGUCUUAAAAGUUCGGGGCUCAACCCCGUGAUGGGAUGGAAACUAGUAGGCUAGAGUAUCGGAGAGGAAAGCGGAAUUCCUAGUGUAGCGGUGAAAUGCGUAGAUAUUAGGAAGAACACCAGUGGCGAAGGCGGCUUUCUGGACGAAAACUGACGCUGAGGCUCGAAAGCCAGGGGAGCGAACGGGAUUAGAUACCCCAGUAGUCCCUGUCUCUUAUACC
This 301-nucleotide ribosomal RNA is filed under the name uncultured bacterium. RNAcentral describes it as "partial 16S ribosomal RNA". It matches the Rfam family "Bacterial small subunit ribosomal RNA", at positions 509 to 808 of the family's 1533-position model. The record is from RNAcentral.